GUGAACGCUGGCGGUAGGCCUAACACAUGCAAGUCGAACGGCAGCACAGUAAGAGCUUGCUCUUACGGGUGGCGAGUGGCGGACGAGUGAGGAAUACAUCGGAAUCUACUUUUUCGUGGGGGAUAACGUAGGGAAACUUACGCUAAUACCGCAUACGACCUACGGGUGAAAGCAGGGGAUCUUCGGACCUUGCGCGAUUGAAUGAGCCGAUGUCGGAUUAGCUAGUUGGCGGGGUAAAGGCCCACCAAGGCGACGAUCCGUAGCUGGUCUGAGAGGAUGAUCAGCCACACUGGAACUGAGACACGGUCCAGACUCCUACGGGAGGCAGCAGUGGGGAAUAUUGGACAAAGGGCGCAAGCCUGAUCCAGCCAUACCGCGUGGGUGAAGAAGGCCUUCGGGUUGUAAAGCCCUUUUGUUGGGAAAGAAAAGCAGCAGGUUAAUACCCCGCUGUUCUGACGGUACCCAAAGAAUAAGCACCGGCUAACUUCGUG
Molecule: ribosomal RNA, 491 nt
Filed under: uncultured bacterium
Lineage: Bacteria
Description: partial 16S ribosomal RNA
Rfam family: Bacterial small subunit ribosomal RNA
Source: RNAcentral